UAAGUGCUCUUAGCCACUGAGCCAUCUCUGCAGCACCAGCCCUCCUCCCAAUUUUCAAACAGGCUCUGAGCCCAGGAUGGCUCAGACCUCAGUGAGUAGCCUAGGCUGGCCUUAAGCUCACUCCAGCCAUCCUGCCUCAUCCAUUUGAAUGCCGAAUGCCGCGUGCCUCUUGCUGUUGGUGUGAAACAACCCGAAGCCAGGCAGAACUGGAACACAGGGUUCUGUUGGUCGUUUUCCAAGUAUCAAUCAGAACUGCAUGCCAGCCUCCACUCCUUGGAAAUAAUUAAAUGAAAUGACGUACUUCGUUUUUUUCAGUCUGGUAAAGCACUGUGAUUUGCAUCUGUUGAAGGAAUCUAUCUUAAGUCUUGAGGCGGAGCCCUGUGGGACGACUCAAGUGAUGGAGGGGGGGGGGAGCGUUGCUAAAACACUUGAGUGGACGAAAUGCUUUAUUUUGCAACUGAUUCCCAUCAGGAAGCUGCUCUUUGUGAAAAUAUUCGUGAAUUCAUUGCAAAGGUUCCCUCCCCCCUUGUUUAGUAUGUCUUCCCACCUCCCUUUGCCUUUUAAAUUUAUUUUUUAUAUUUUAGACACAGUACAACACUGCAGACUGGUUCUAAACUCAAGUGUCCGAGAAUGACCUUGAACUCUUGAUCCUAUUGCUUCUCCCACCUCUGCGUUCCGAAACCACAGGCUGGAUGUCACACUUGACUCAGUACCAUCUCUUUAUAUUUGCAAAAUUACAUUUCAUGCUAGGCUCUAAACAGACCUCACCGACAGAGCAGAUGAUUUAUGGUUUAAGAAUAGGUUUGGGAUUGAAGGCUCCUCUCUCUCAUUGCGGAAAGUGGAAGUCUAUAUAGCAACCUUCAUUUUAAAGCCAAAGCCAAGCACCUAGCAAACGCGUAGUUGCUACAGCAUAACCUAUGACUUCUAUGCAGACGUAUGUCAAAGGCUGUGUGGGCUACUAAAACGAAAUAAAACUUCCUUCCUCCUCCCUCAAGAGUGGGAUUCCCUGUCGGGGUACAGAACCCGCAGGGGAAGGAAGGGCUGGUGUUGGCGUGCGAUGGAGAUGGGGCUCUCGGCUGGGGGUGUGGGAUGCGGUGUUCCCGAGGCGACAGAUGAGCGACUUUGGCUGUGUGGGAAGGGAACUGCGGAAUUCCUCCCUUUGGUGGCUGAUGGGGGGGGGGGGGGUUGCGCUCUGAAGGAGACGUUAGGAUGCAGAGCACGGCUCGGGCUGUCCAGGGCGCGGAGGCGAGCCAAGGACACCCGUCCGAACGCGCCUGGGUCGCCCGCGUUCCGGCACCUCCCUGUCACCGCGCGCCCCAGACAGUCCCCCAGCGGCCGGGCAGUGAGCGCUGAGCGCCCACCCGUGGGCCCCGCGCUCGGAUGACACGCGAAAGUCACGGCCGAGAAAAGCCGAGGCCGUGCUCCGCUCGCUCCGGCCUCAGCCAGCUAAGCCCUGCUGCGAAGACGGCCUGCGCGCACACGCGCGCGAUCU
Long non-coding RNA from Myodes glareolus (Bank vole), 1492 nucleotides. RefSeq lists it as uncharacterized. The record is from RefSeq and is a predicted model, not a curated record. NCBI's taxonomy places the organism in Eukaryota, Metazoa, Chordata, Mammalia, Rodentia, Cricetidae.